Molecule: ribosomal RNA, 119 nt
Filed under: Pteropus alecto (black flying fox)
Lineage: Eukaryota; Metazoa; Chordata; Mammalia; Chiroptera; Pteropodidae
Source: RNAcentral
AUCUGCGGCCAUGCCACCAUGAACGCGCCUGAUCUCAUCUGAUCUCGGAAGCUAAGCAGGGUUGGGCCUGGUUAUUAGUAGGAUGGGAGACCAUCUAGGAAGACCAGGUGCUGUAGGCG